AACGAACAUUGGCGGCAGGCCUAACACAUGCAAGUCGAGCGAGGCUUCGAGCCAAGCGGCAGACGGGUGCGUACAACAUAGGAAUCUACCUUUAGCUGGGGGACAACAGUCAGAAAUGACUGCUAAUACCGCAUACGACCGAGGCGCAAGCCCGGUGAAAGCUUUAGCGGCGAAAGAUGAGCCUAUGCCUGAUUAGCUAG
This 200-nucleotide ribosomal RNA is filed under the name uncultured bacterium. RNAcentral describes it as "partial 16S ribosomal RNA". It matches the Rfam family "Bacterial small subunit ribosomal RNA", at positions 29 to 248 of the family's 1533-position model. The record is from RNAcentral.